Molecule: long non-coding RNA, 121 nt
Organism: Amphimedon queenslandica
Lineage: Eukaryota; Metazoa; Porifera; Demospongiae; Haplosclerida; Niphatidae
Exons: 2
Source: RefSeq, a predicted model, not a curated record
UUCAUGAAGGAAAAUAGGUGCCCCCGAAACCAAAACCAAGAGCAAAACACCCCUAUAAGGUACAUGCAUGGGCAGGUAUAAGUUGCCAAGGAAAGACGCCAAUUGUGCUGUUUGAAGAAAA